Molecule: long non-coding RNA, 643 nt
Filed under: Equus caballus (horse)
Lineage: Eukaryota; Metazoa; Chordata; Mammalia; Perissodactyla; Equidae
Description: lncRNA (ENSECAG00000050679.1)
Source: RNAcentral
CGGCAGCCAUGUUAAGCGUGGCGUUUCGGGAAGGGCUGGGGCUGGGCUUGCUUUUACGUAACGGCGUCGCCGCGCCGGAAGUGCUGUGUUUGAUCCAAGAGUUUGUGGUUUUGUGUUUGGCUCCGCUGAUGCUCUUUGGCCUUGGAUAAGCCUUGGGACCUCGAGUUUGUCAUUUGCAAAGUGGCCCGGUUCCCAUAGAGACGUUGUUGGAAUUCACCCAGCUAAAAACAGAAAACUUUUUUUCUUUUUCUUUAGGUUGAGGGGUAGGGAGGGCAGUAAGAUGAUAAUGUUAAAUCAGCUCUUCUCUACAUUUGGAACUCUGUGCAGGUAAUUAACGUAUUUUAACGUUUCCGAAGGGCUUUCACAUCAGUGUCUCAUGAAAAACUCCCUAGCACUCUGACAUAUGGGCAGGAUUCAGCUUAAUCGUUUUUGUUUUUGAGGGAUGAAAACCAUCUUCAGAGGUUUCAGCUUGCCUUAGGCAGUCACAGUUCUAGCCAUUUCAUUCCAUAUGUCAAACCAUAUAUCUUGAUGUGGGGUUCUGAGAAGAAAAUCAAAACAACGACAACAGCAACAAAACCUCAUCAUGUUUAUGUACUAUUCACCUUAAUUGCAGCUUUCAUAUUACAUUCUUCUUGUAAGGGAA